AUUGAACGCUGGCGGCAUGCUUUACACAUGCAAGUCGAACGGUAACAGGUUAAGCUGACGAGUGGCGAACGGGUGAGUAAUGCAUCGGAACGUGCCCGAACGUGGGCGAUAACGCAGCGAAACCUGCUCUAAUACCGCAUACGAUCUGAGGAUGAAAGCGGGUGACAGUAAGGCCACGCGCGCUCGGCGCGUCCGAUGUCAAAUUAGGUAGUUGGUGGGGUAAAGGCUCACCAAGCCAACGAUCUGUAGCUGGUCUGAGAGUACGACCAGCCCACCUGGGACUGAGACACGGCCCAGACUCCUACGGAGGCAGCAGUGGGGAAUUUUGGACAAUGGGCGAAAGCCUGAUCCAGCAAUGCCGCGUGCAGGAAGAAGGCCUUCGGGUUGUAAACUGCUUUUGUACGGAGCGAAAAGGCUCUCUCUAAUACAGGGGGCUCAUGACGGUACCGUAAGAAUAAGCACCGGCUAACUACGUGCCAGCCGCCGCAGUAA
This 492-nucleotide ribosomal RNA is filed under the name uncultured bacterium. RNAcentral's name for it is "partial 16S ribosomal RNA". It matches the Rfam family "Bacterial small subunit ribosomal RNA", at positions 30 to 523 of the family's 1533-position model. The record is from RNAcentral.